RNAcentral lists this small RNA (1387 nucleotides) under Pongo abelii (Sumatran orangutan). Its description in RNAcentral is "retained intron". Lineage: Eukaryota; Metazoa; Chordata; Mammalia; Primates; Hominidae. The record is from RNAcentral.
GCGCGGGCCGACCGGGCGCACCGACCAUGGCCUCCAAAUGCCCCAAGUGCGACAAGACCGUGUACUUCGCCGAGAAGGUGAGCUCCCUGGGUAAGGACUGGCACAAGUUCUGCCUCAAGUGCGAGCGCUGCAGCAAGACGCUGACGCCCGGGGGCCACGCCGAGCAUGACGGGAAGCCGUUCUGCCACAAGCCGUGCUACGCCACCCUGUUCGGACCCAAAGGUGAGCUCCGGCUGCCCUUGGCCUGCCCUGGAACCUGCUGGGAGGGGCCUGGCGCUGGCGCUGGGGAGGGCUGGGGGUCCCGGCCGCCGUGGAUCCCGGCCCAGAGUCCCCACCCCCCUGGAAAGCCUAGUGCCCCCAGCCCCCAGCGGGCCGUUUUCUGAGACGCCGGGUGGCCGCGGCCCCCACCCCACGUACCCCCACCCGCAGGCGUGAACAUCGGGGGCGCGGGCUCCUACAUCUACGAGAAGCCCCUGGCGGAGGGGCCGCAGGUCACCGGCCCCAUCGAGGUCCCCGCGGCCCGAGCAGAGGAGCGGAAGGCCAGCGGCCCCCCGAAGGGGCCCAGCAGAGCUUCCAGUGUCACAACUUUCACCGGGGAGCCCAACACGUGCCCGCGCUGCAGCAAGAAGGUGUACUUCGCUGAGAAGGUGACGUCUCUGGGCAAGGAUUGGCACCGGCCCUGCCUGCGCUGCGAGCGCUGCGGGAAGACACUGACCCCCGGCGGGCACGCGGAGCACGAUGGCCAGCCCUACUGCCACAAGCCCUGCUAUGGAAUCCUCUUCGGACCCAAGGGAGUGAACACCGGUGCGGUGGGCAGCUACAUCUAUGACCGGGAUCCCGAAGGCAAGGUCCAGCCCUAGGCCACAGCGGCUGUCAUGAUGUGGGCUCACCUGCGCCCCAGACCCUGCAGGGGCCCCCCUGCUUGGCUCUGCUGGGAGAGUGCUCAGCCGCCCAGUCCUGCCUGCAAGCCCAGGGCGAGUAUUGGAGGAGGGGCAGCCACGGGCAGAGCGCCAUGCCCAUCCCUGAGUCUCUAGUGUGUCUGCCCCCUCUGGCGUCCUCUGGGCGUCCCAUGACCCCUUCUGUGUCUGCGUGUCCGAAUCCCCGUGUGACCCUGUCCCAGCGUUUUCCUGCCGGCCCUGCGCAUCCCUGCGUGUCCCUGUGUGUCCCUGUGGCGCUGUCCGCUCUCCCUCUCCUGCUGCCCACCCACCUGCCAGUGUUAUUUAUGCUGCCUUCAUGGGUGAUGGCCACGCCCCCACCAUGUCCCUGGCAGAGGACUUCCCUCCGGGAUCCCCUGCCUGGUGCCCACACGUCCUCGCAAGCGCUCGCCACCCUCACGUGGCCCACCUGCUGUUGAGCCUUGUGCUGUCAAUAAACGGUUUGAGGAUUG